ACUUAGCCUGUGUGGGUCUCCAUUCUUCAACUUUAAAAUGAGGGCCUUGGACUAAGUGA
This is a microRNA precursor of Monodelphis domestica (gray short-tailed opossum), 59 nucleotides long. NCBI's taxonomy places the organism in Eukaryota, Metazoa, Chordata, Mammalia, Didelphimorphia, Didelphidae. The record is from Ensembl.